This 806-nucleotide ribosomal RNA is filed under the name uncultured Pelagibacteraceae bacterium. RNAcentral's name for it is "bacterial SSU rRNA". It matches the Rfam family "Bacterial small subunit ribosomal RNA", at positions 33 to 887 of the family's 1533-position model. The record is from RNAcentral. Lineage: Bacteria; Pseudomonadati; Pseudomonadota; Alphaproteobacteria; Candidatus Pelagibacterales; Candidatus Pelagibacteraceae.
ACGCUGGCGGCACGCCUUAUACAUGCAAGUCGAACGAAGUAGCAAUACUUAGUGGCAGACGGGUGAGUAACAUGUAGGUAUCUUCCCUUUGGUGAGGAAUAACACGAGGAAACUUGUGCUAAUACCUCAUAAGUCUUUACGGAGAAAGCUUUACGCGCCGAAGGAUGAGCCUGCACUUGAUUAGUUUGUUGGUGGGGUAAUGGCCUACCAAGACUUUGAUCUAUAGCUGAUCUGAGAGGAUGAUCAGCCACAUUGGGACUGAGACACGGCCCAAACUCCUACGGGAGGCAGCAGUAGGGAAUAUUGCACAAUGGAGGAAACUCUGAUGCAGCGAUGCCGCGUGAGUGAAGAAGGCCUUUGGGUUGUAAAGCUCUUUCGUCGGGGAAGAAAAUGACUGUACCCGAAUAAGAAGGUCCGGCUAACUUCGUGCCAGCAGCCGCGGUAAUACGAAGGGACCUAGCGUAGUUCGGAAUUACUGGGCUUAAAGAGUUCGUAGGUGGUUAAAAAAGUUGGUGGUGAAAUCCCAGAGCUUAACUCUGGAACUGCCAUCAAAACUUUUUAGCUAGAGUAUGAUAGAGGAAAGCAGAAUUUCUAGUGUAGAGGUGAAAUUCGUAGAUAUUAGAAAGAAUACCAAUUGCGAAGGCAGCUUUCUGGAUCAUUACUGACACUGAGGAACGAAAGCAUGGGUAGCGAAGAGGAUUAGAUACCCUCGUAGUCCAUGCCGUAAACGAUGUGUGUUAGACGUUGGAAAUUUAUUUUCAGUGUCGCAGCGAAAGCGUUAAACACACCGCCUGGGGAGUACGACC